GGGGUAUGGUUCUUCGGAACCGAGACCGGCGCACGGGUGCGUAACGCGUAUGCAAUCUACCUUUUACAGAGGGAUAGCCCAGAGAAAUUUGGAUUAAUACCUCAUAGUAUAGCGACUUCGCAUGAUGACGCUAUUAAAGUCACAACGGUAAAAGAUGAGCAUGCGUCCCAUUAGCUAGUUGGUAAGGUAACGGCUUACCAAGGCUACGAUGGGUAGGGGUCCUGAGAGGGAGAUCCCCCACACUGGUACUGAGACACGGACCAGACUCCUACGGGAGGCAGCAGUGAGGAAUAUUGGACAAUGGGCGCAAGCCUGAUCCAGCCAUGCCGCGUGCAGGAUGACGGUCCUAUGGAUUGUAAACUGCUUUUAUACGAGAAGAAACACUCCAACGUGUUGGAGCUUGACGGUAUCGUAAGAAUAAGGAUCGGCUAACUCCGUGCCAGCAGCCGCGGUAAUACGGAGGAUCCAAGCGUUAUCCGGAAUCAUU
This 487-nucleotide ribosomal RNA is filed under the name Flavobacterium sp. FlavoEI_XT4Fr1BG42_A06_41. RNAcentral's name for it is "bacterial SSU rRNA". It matches the Rfam family "Bacterial small subunit ribosomal RNA", at positions 64 to 555 of the family's 1533-position model. The record is from RNAcentral. Lineage: Bacteria; Pseudomonadati; Bacteroidota; Flavobacteriia; Flavobacteriales; Flavobacteriaceae.